RNAcentral lists this ribosomal RNA (429 nucleotides) under Chloroflexota bacterium. RNAcentral's name for it is "Chloroflexi bacterium partial 16S ribosomal RNA". It matches the Rfam family "Bacterial small subunit ribosomal RNA", at positions 355 to 776 of the family's 1533-position model. Lineage: Bacteria; Bacillati; Chloroflexota. The record is from RNAcentral.
UAGGGAAUCUUCGGCAAUGGACGAAAGUCUGACCGAGCAACGCCGCGUGAGUGAAGAAGGUUUUCGGAUCGUAAAACUCUGUUGUUAGAGAAGAACAAGGACGUUAGUAACUGAACGUCCCCUGACGGUAUCUAACCAGAAAGCCACGGCUAACUACGUGCCAGCAGCCGCGGUAAUACGUAGGUGGCAAGCGUUGUCCGGAGUUAUUGGGCGUAAAGCGAGCGCAGGCGGUUUCUUAAGUCUGAUGUGAAAGCCCCCGGCUCAACCGGGGAGGGUCAUUGGAAACUGGGAGGCUUGAGUGCAGAAGAGGAGAGUGGAAUUCCCUGUGUAACGGUGAAAUGCGUAGAUAUAUGGAGGAACACCAGUGGCGAAGGCGGCUCUCUCGUCUGUAACUAACGCUGAGGCUCGAAAGCGUGGGGAGCAAACAGG